AAAAUAGGUGCCCGUACCGCAAACCGACACAGGUAGUCAAGAUGAGAAUUCUAAGGUGAGCGAGCGAACUCUCGUUAAGGAACUCGGCAAAAUGACCCCGUAACUUCGGGAGAAGGGGUGCUCUUUAGGGUUAACGCCCAGAAGAGCCGCAGUGAAUAGGCCCAAGCGACUGUUUAUCAAAAACACAGGUCUCUGCUAAACCGUAAGGUGAUGUAUAGGGGCUGACGCCUGCCCGGUGCUGGAAGGUUAAGAGGAGUGGUUAGCUUCUGCGAAGCUACGAAUCGAAGCCCCAGUAAACGGCGGCCGUAACUAUAACGGUCCUAAGGUAGCGAAAUUCCUUGUCGGGUAAGUUCCGACCCGCACGAAAGGCGUAACGAUUUGGGCACUGUCUCAACGAGAGACUCGGUGAAAUCAUAGUACCUGUGAAGAUGCAGGUUACCCGCGACAGGACGGAAAGACCCCGUGGAGCUUUACUGUAGCCUGAUAUUGAAAUUCGGCACAGCUUGUACAGGAUAGGUAGGAGCCUUUGAAACGUGAGCGCUAGCUUACGUGGAGGCGCUGGUGGGAUACUACCCUAGCUGUGUUGGCUUUCUAACCCGCACCACUUAUCGUGGUGGGAGACAGUGUCAGGCGGGCAGUUUGACUGGGGCGGUCGCCUCCUAAAAG
This 666-nucleotide ribosomal RNA is filed under the name Staphylococcus aureus. Its description in RNAcentral is "partial 23S ribosomal RNA". It matches the Rfam family "Bacterial large subunit ribosomal RNA", at positions 1631 to 2296 of the family's 2925-position model. The record is from RNAcentral. Lineage: Bacteria; Bacillati; Bacillota; Bacilli; Caryophanales; Staphylococcaceae.